AUACGAAGGGUGCUAGCGUUGUUCGGAAUUACUGGGCGUAAAGAGCAUGUAGGCGGAUAGAUUAGUCAGAGGUGAAAGCCCCGAGCUCAACUCGGGAACUGCCUUUGAUACUGUUUAUCUAGAGACCGAGAGAGGUGAGUGGAAUUCUCAGUGUAGAGGUGAAAUUCGUAGAUAUUGGGAAGAACACCAGUGGCGAAGGCGGCUCACUGGCUCGGAACUGACGCUGAGAUGCGAAAGCGUGGGGAGCAAACAGGAUUAGAUACCCUAGUAGUCC
This 274-nucleotide ribosomal RNA is filed under the name uncultured bacterium. RNAcentral describes it as "partial 16S ribosomal RNA". It matches the Rfam family "Bacterial small subunit ribosomal RNA", at positions 523 to 796 of the family's 1533-position model. The record is from RNAcentral.